This 72-nucleotide transfer RNA is filed under the name Thiothrix unzii. It matches the Rfam family "tRNA". Rfam says of the family: Transfer RNA (tRNA) molecules are approximately 80 nucleotides in length. Their secondary structure includes four short double-helical elements and three loops (D, anti-codon, and T loops). Lineage: Bacteria; Pseudomonadati; Pseudomonadota; Gammaproteobacteria; Thiotrichales; Thiotrichaceae. RNAcentral also lists the same sequence under 1 other name. The record is from Rfam by way of RNAcentral.
GCAGCCAUAGCUCAGUCUGGUAGAGCAACCGAGAGAUUCGGUCGGUCGUUGGUUCAACUCCAACUGGCUGCU